Small nucleolar RNA from Corchorus capsularis, 90 nucleotides. It matches the Rfam family "small nucleolar RNA snoR114". Lineage: Eukaryota; Viridiplantae; Streptophyta; Magnoliopsida; Malvales; Malvaceae. The record is from Rfam.
GAGCUGUGAUGAAUCUUGUGUCUCAUGUGAUGAUUUAGGGUCUAUCACUAUCGUCCGAUCCUUCCGACGAAAAUAGUCACAUCUGAGCUC